RNAcentral lists this ribosomal RNA (404 nucleotides) under uncultured bacterium. Its description in RNAcentral is "bacterial SSU rRNA". It matches the Rfam family "Bacterial small subunit ribosomal RNA", at positions 29 to 429 of the family's 1533-position model. The record is from RNAcentral.
AUUGAACGCUGGCGGCAUGCCUAACACAUGCAAGUCGAACGGCAGCACGGCAGUAGCAAUACUGUGGGUGGCGAGUGGCGGACGGGUGAGGAAUACGUCGGAAUCUGCCCAGUCGUGGGGGAUAACUAGCCGAAAGGUUAGCUAAUACCGCAUACGACCGAGAGGUGAAGGCGGGGGACCGCAAGGCCUCGCGCGAUUGGAUGAGCCGACGUCGGAUUAGCUAGUUGGUGGGGUUAAGGCCCACCAAGGCGACGAUCCGUAGCUGGUCUGAGAGGAUGAUCAGCCACACUGGAACUGAGACACGGUCCAGACUCCUACGGGAGGCAGCAGUGGGGAAUAUUGGACAAUGGGCGCAAGCCUGAUCCAGCAAUGCCGCGUGUGUGAAGAAGGCCUUCGGUUGUAAG